This 160-nucleotide non-coding RNA is filed under the name Brucella suis ATCC 23445. RNAcentral's name for it is "6S / SsrS RNA". It matches the Rfam family "6S / SsrS RNA". Rfam says of the family: E. coli 6S RNA was the first non coding RNA to be sequenced, but its function was unknown until recently. It consists of 184 nucleotides that fold into an extended hairpin structure with a large single-stranded internal bulge. The record is from RNAcentral. Lineage: Bacteria; Pseudomonadati; Pseudomonadota; Alphaproteobacteria; Hyphomicrobiales; Brucellaceae.
GGCGAACUGCGCUUCCCGACAGGUGUAACAGCAUCCCCGGGGCCUUAUUGAUCUCUAAGGGAGCUGUCCCUGUGAAGGCUUGUGGGCUUUCGCAUAUGGCGCCCACCUACUUUGUAGGUUCCCGGGAUCAAUCACUACCAUCGGUCGUCGUGGUCGCCGC